Molecule: ribosomal RNA, 330 nt
Filed under: uncultured bacterium
Lineage: Bacteria
Description: bacterial SSU rRNA
Rfam family: Bacterial small subunit ribosomal RNA
Source: RNAcentral
CGCGUAGGCGGCGGACCUUGUCGAGUGUGAAAGCCCCGGGCUCAACCUGGGAGGUGCGCUCGAGACGGGUUUGCUGGAGUUCGGGAGAGGAGAGUGGAAUUCCCAGUGUAGAGGUGAAAUUCGUAGAUAUUGGGAAGAACACCGGUGGCGAAGGCGGCUCUCUGGACCGAGACUGACGCUGAGGCGCGAAAGCGUGGGGAGCAAACAGGAUUGGAUACCCUGGUAGUCCACGCUGUAAACGAUGUGUGCUAGACGUUGGGGAGCGUAGCUCUUCGGUGUCGCCGCAAACGCUUUAAGCACACCGCCUGGGGAGUACGGCCGCAAGGUUAA